This 497-nucleotide ribosomal RNA is filed under the name uncultured bacterium. Its description in RNAcentral is "partial 16S ribosomal RNA". It matches the Rfam family "Bacterial small subunit ribosomal RNA", at positions 28 to 507 of the family's 1533-position model. The record is from RNAcentral.
GAUGAACGCUGGCGGCGUGCCUAAUACAUGCAAGUCGAGCGAACAGAUAAGGAGCUUGCUCCUUUGACGUUAGCGGCGGACGGGUGAGUAACACGUGGGUAACCUACCUAUAAGACUGGGAUAACUUCGGGAAACCGGAGCUAAUACCGGAUAAUAUUUCGAACCGCAUGGUUCGAUAGUGAAAGAUGGUUUUGCUAUCACUUAUAGAUGGACCCGCGCCGUAUUAGCUAGUUGGUAAGGUAACGGCUUACCAAGGCGACGAUACGUAGCCGACCUGAGAGGGUGAUCGGCCACACUGGAACUGAGACACGGUCCAGACUCCUGAGGGAGGCAGCAGUAGGGAAUCUUCCGCAAUGGGCGAAAGCCUGACGGAGCAACGCCGCGUGAGUGAUGAAGGUCUUCGGAUCGUAAAACUCUGUUAUUAGGGAAGAACAUACGUGUAAGUAACUGUGCACGUCUUGACGGUACCUAAUCAGAAAGCCACGGCUAACUACGUG